RNAcentral lists this ribosomal RNA (253 nucleotides) under uncultured prokaryote. RNAcentral describes it as "partial 16S ribosomal RNA". It matches the Rfam family "Bacterial small subunit ribosomal RNA", at positions 524 to 776 of the family's 1533-position model. The record is from RNAcentral.
UACAGAGGUCCCAAGCGUUGUUCGGAUUCACUGGGCGUAAAGGGUGCGUAGGCGGUUGGGUAAGUCUGACGUGAAAUCUCCGGGCCUAACCCGGAAAUGGCAUUGGAAACUACCUGACUAGAGGGUUGGAGGGGGGACUGGAAUACUUGGUGUAGCAGUGAAAUGCGUAGAUAUCAAGUGGAACACCAGUGGCGAAGGCGAGUCCCUGGACAACUCCUGACACUGAGGCACGAAAGCUAGGGGAGCAAACAGG